Transfer RNA from Microdochium bolleyi, 133 nucleotides. It matches the Rfam family "tRNA". From Rfam's summary of the family: Transfer RNA (tRNA) molecules are approximately 80 nucleotides in length. Their secondary structure includes four short double-helical elements and three loops (D, anti-codon, and T loops). The record is from Rfam. Lineage: Eukaryota; Fungi; Ascomycota; Sordariomycetes; Xylariales; Microdochiaceae.
GGCCUUGUGGCGCAACGGUAGCGCGUCUGACUCCAGUUUAUCUUGGAUCAAAUCACCGAUCAACGGUGAUCUUGGGCGAUUUCCACGAGGAAAUAAUAUCAGAAGGUUAUCCGUUCAAAUCGGGUCAGGGUCA